This 1058-nucleotide long non-coding RNA is filed under the name Equus caballus (horse). RNAcentral describes it as "lncRNA (ENSECAG00000050180.1)". The record is from RNAcentral. Lineage: Eukaryota; Metazoa; Chordata; Mammalia; Perissodactyla; Equidae.
CAGAGAAAGGGCUUAUACCCAGUCUCUGACCUUGAACUGCCUUCUCUGUCAGCAUUCCCGGAACUUACGGCUGGGUGGGUUUCUGGGAAAGGCACUACAAGUUGAAAUGAGGGGCUAAAGAAUGGAUUCCUCACUUUUCCCAGUGGAACUAUUGUACACACGAAAGCAGAUGCCAUUGCUGACCCGAGCCUGUUCUUCUAGAAAGAGUGAUGUCAUGGACCGUGUGACUGAUGGACUUGCCAGCGGGAGGCGUCGUGUUGCAGACGUGUCUGGGAGAACGGUGAAGAGCCUUCAGACGCCGACCUCCACCCUCGGCAUAGGUGUAGUGGAUUCUAAAAGGAAUAACAUUCAUGAAAGUGCAUCUUACACUACAUAAGUUCUCUCGAAAGUUCUGCACAUGUGCAGCCAUUAAGAUUUCAUGGAGAUGGUAAUAUAUAAACUAGAUGUUAAAGAAUAGACAGAAAGCCUGGACCAGCAUUGUGGUUGUCGCCUCUACAUCGGAGCCAGUGGCCAUCCGAGAACAGGGACACUUGGGUUGUGACCUCCGCCCUCUCCUCACCGAACAUGCUCUCUGUGCCUCCGUGGGGCCUUUGUGGCCAUCCAGUCAGCUAAUCUGGAGCCUGCAACUCUGGGCUGCCGAGGACAGAACAGAGCCCAAGACUGGACAAGCAGGGGCCCCAAGGCAGUGCGAGAAGCUGAGGGAAGGGCUUGGUAACAUCUAGGCAGGCAGCGGCUGUCUCCCCAGCCUUUGCAAGAUUGAUGCGAGCAGUGGGCAUGCCUGCCGCUCAGAAGGCUCUGCUAGGCACCAUCAAUCUUUACCUUCAUGAACAUUUGUGGAUGUAAUUUGCAAAUUAAAGAGUACUCAUAAUGAAGCAGUUAUCUUUCAUGGUCUAAACAACUGCCAUCCCAAGUUCCCACAGAAGAAGGGCCUCCCUCCAUUCACCAGAGAGUAUUUCAGUAGGGAGAGUGGGGAUCUGAUGAAGGUGAUUGCUAAGAAGAGCAGAAACAAACAACGGGACAAUGCUCUGAAGCCAGGGAAGCAGCGUGCCACCUCAAAG